GUGUCAGCCGCCGCGGUAAUACGUAGGGUGCAAGCGUUGUCCGGAAUUAUUGGGCGUAAAGAGCUCGUAGGCGGCUUGUCGCGUCUGCUGUGAAAACCCGGAGCUCAACUCCGGGCCUGCAGUGGGUACGGGCAGGCUAGAGUGCGGUAGGGGAGAUUGGAAUUCCUGGUGUAGCGGUGGAAUGCGCAGAUAUCAGGAGGAACACCGAUGGCGAAGGCAGAUCUCUGGGCCGCUACUGACGCUGAGGAGCGAAAGCAUGGGGAGCGAACAGGAUUAGAUACCCUGGUAGUCCAUGCCGUAAACGUUGGGAACUAGAUGUAGGGCCUGUUCCACGGGUUCUGUGUCGUAGCUAACGCAUUAAGUUCCCCGCCUGGGGAGUACGGCCGCAAGGCUAAAACUCAAAUAAAUUGACGG
This 414-nucleotide ribosomal RNA is filed under the name uncultured bacterium. Its description in RNAcentral is "bacterial SSU rRNA". It matches the Rfam family "Bacterial small subunit ribosomal RNA", at positions 505 to 916 of the family's 1533-position model. The record is from RNAcentral.